This 163-nucleotide ribosomal RNA is filed under the name uncultured bacterium. RNAcentral describes it as "partial 16S ribosomal RNA". It matches the Rfam family "Bacterial small subunit ribosomal RNA", at positions 355 to 509 of the family's 1533-position model. The record is from RNAcentral.
UAGGGAAUUUUCGUCAAUGGGCGCAAGCCUGAACGAGCAAUGCCGCGUGAGUGAGGAAGGUCUUCGGACUGUAAAGCUCUGUUGCCGGGGAAAAAAGGGGAAAUGCAGGAAAUGGCAUUUCAUGGAUGGUACCCGGCCAGAAAGCCACGGCUAACUACGUGCC